RNAcentral lists this ribosomal RNA (500 nucleotides) under uncultured bacterium. Its description in RNAcentral is "bacterial SSU rRNA". It matches the Rfam family "Bacterial small subunit ribosomal RNA", at positions 24 to 518 of the family's 1533-position model. The record is from RNAcentral.
UCAGGAUGAACGCUAGCGGCAGGCUUAACACAUGCAAGUCGAGGGGCAUCGGGAGUAGCAAUACUGCCGGCGACCGGCGCAAGGGUGCGUAACGCGUGAGCAACAUGCCCGUAUCAGGGGGGAUAAUCCAUGGAAACGUGGUCUAAUACCCCAUAGUAAUUAUGUAAGGCAUCUUAUAUAAUUUAAAGCUUUGGUGGAUACGGAUUGGCUCGCGUGACAUUAGCUGGAUGGUAAGGUAACGGCUUACCAUGGCUACGAUGUCUAGGGGUUCUGAGAGGAAGGUCCCCCACACUGGAACUGAGACACGGUCCAGACUCCUACGGGAGGCAGCAGUGAGGAAUAUUGGACAAUGGAUGGAAAUCUGAUCCAGCCAUGCCGCGUGCAAGGAAGACGGCCCUAUGGGUUGUAAACUGCUUUUGUAUGGGAGCAAUAAGGGCUACGUGUAGUCCGAUGAGAGUACCAUACGAAUAAGCACCGGCUAACUCCGUGCCAGCCGCAGC